This 69-nucleotide transfer RNA is filed under the name Danionella cerebrum. RNAcentral describes it as "tRNA-Val". Lineage: Eukaryota; Metazoa; Chordata; Actinopteri; Cypriniformes; Danionidae. The record is from RNAcentral.
UUCCUGUGGCUCAGUUGAUAGAGAAUUGCGCUAACAACGCAAAAGCCGUAGGUUCAAAUCCCAGUGAAA